RNAcentral lists this ribosomal RNA (301 nucleotides) under uncultured bacterium. RNAcentral's name for it is "partial 16S ribosomal RNA". It matches the Rfam family "Bacterial small subunit ribosomal RNA", at positions 509 to 809 of the family's 1533-position model. The record is from RNAcentral.
CAGCCGCCGCGGGAAUACGUAGGUGGCAAGCGUUGUCCGGAAUUAUUGGGCGUAAAGGGCUCGCAGGCGGUUUCUUAAGUCUGAUGUGAAAGCCCCCGGCUCAACCGGGGAGGGUCAUUGGAAACUGGGAAACUUGAGUGCAGAAGAGGGGAGUGGAAUUCCACGUGUAGCGGUGAAAUGCGUAGAGAUGUGGAGGAACACCAGUGGCGAAGGCGACUCUCUGGUCUGUAACUGACGCUGAGGAGCGAAAGCGUGGGGAGCGAACAGGAUUAGAUACCCCUGUAGUCCCUGUCUCUUAUAU